AUAGAGCUGGGAUUCAAACUGAACCCAGAACUCUAUGUGAAACUUCUUCCCCAUGUUUUCAGAUUCUGACUACUAGUUUCUCUCUCCUCUGUUUUAGCAAAGGAUUUUUUUUUAAUCUUUGCAUUUGUAUUUUAACUUUUAUUUUUUUCUCUUAUAAAGAGAGCCCAUUUUGCCUAAACAAGAACCACGAUUAUGUAAAGUUCUUUCUGUCACCUCUCUGAAGACCUGGUUCAUAUCUGCAGCUGCAACUCUAUCCCUGAACUCAUCUUUGAAACUACCCAGAGAUAGACUGUCAAGAGCUUCAGAGCUUUACAACAGGAUCUUCCAAGUGCCCUGAGAGGUCAUGAUGGAGCCAAUAGAAAUAAAUCAUACAAAACAAAGCCAGAACCUGGUGGGAGGGAUGCUUACAAAACAACAUAAACGAGAAGUUGUCUGAAAAAAAAUUGUAUGGAAGGAAGAAGAGAUGAGAUAAGGGAAAUGAACUCAUAAUAGCCCCAGUUAAAAUACUUACAGUAAAAUAUCAUUAGUACUACUUGAUGUUGGUGAAAGGCUCUAGACUCAAGUCAGAAGGCCCAAUUUGUUGCUGUGAUUUCUUGAACAAAUUAUGUAAUUGUGUUGAGAUUCAGUUUUCUUUUCUAUCAUUGGGUAUUAAUAACUUCUAUGUGAUGUCAGAGUUAUGAUGUGAAGUUAAAAUAACUAAUAAAUGGGUAAACCCUGAAAAUUUGAUAGAAUUUUGUGAAUGAGAGAAUCUUACAAAUACAGUACCUGAAACCAAAAGAAUUAAGUCUCAGCUUGAGGAAUAUCAGAUACUAGGGCAGGCUAAUGGGAUAAAGGUCUCAUUGAUCUGCCACCUUCAGUCACACUGAAAUGGGGCUAUAUUUUUUUUAUUUACUUACCUACCAGUACUGCCAAUAGUCAAAAUAGUACUACUUUCCAAGUUAUUUAACUUUUUUAGUAUAACAGAAAAAAAAAUCAUUUCUAGUUUUCAAGGCAUGGAUUCAAUGAGUAAUAUAGAUUUAUAUCACUUGGUGAAGACAUGGCAAUUUCCCUGAUACCACUGAAAAAUAAAUUUAAAAAUGC
Molecule: long non-coding RNA, 1080 nt
Filed under: Homo sapiens (human)
Lineage: Eukaryota; Metazoa; Chordata; Mammalia; Primates; Hominidae
Description: HSALNT0364659
Source: RNAcentral